CUACGGGUUGCUGCAGUGGGGGAUAUUGCACAAUGGAGGAAACUCUGAUGCAGCAACGCCGCGUGAGGGAAGAAGGUUUUCGGAUUGUAAACCUCUGUUUUCGGUGAAGAAAAAAAUGACGGUAGCCGAAGAGGAAGCCACGGCUAACUACGUGCCAGCAGCCGCGGUAAUACGUAGGUGGCAAGCGUUGUCCGGAUUUACUGGGUGUAAAGGGUGCGCAGGCGGGACUGCAAGUUGGAUGUGAAAAUCUGAGGCUCAACCUCAGAACUGCAUCCAAAACUGUGGUUCUUGAGUGGAGUAGAGGUAAGCGGAAUUCCGAGUGUAGCGGUGAAAUGCGUAGAUAUUCGGAGGAACACCAGUGGCGAAGGCGGCUUACUGGGCUCUAACUGACGCUGAGGCACGAAAGCAUGGGUAGCAAACAGGAUUAGAUACCCCCGUAGUC
This 442-nucleotide ribosomal RNA is filed under the name uncultured bacterium. RNAcentral describes it as "partial 16S ribosomal RNA". It matches the Rfam family "Bacterial small subunit ribosomal RNA", at positions 339 to 795 of the family's 1533-position model. The record is from RNAcentral.